RNAcentral lists this ribosomal RNA (1251 nucleotides) under metagenome. Its description in RNAcentral is "SSU rRNA". It matches the Rfam family "Eukaryotic small subunit ribosomal RNA", at positions 5 to 1247 of the family's 1831-position model. The record is from RNAcentral.
UGGUUGAUCCUGCCAGUAUUAUAUGCUUGUCUCAAAGAUUAAGCCAUGCAUGUCUAAGUAUAAGCAAACUUAUACUGCGAAACUGCGAAUGGCUCAUUAUAUCAGUUAUAGUUUAUUUGAUGAUCCUUUUACUACAUGGAUAACUGUAGUAAUUCUAGAGCUAAUACAUGCGCACAAUCCCGCAAGGGAUGUAUUUAUUAGAUUCAAAGCCAAUUCAGGCAUCUGUCUGAUUGUUGGUGAGUCACAAUAACUAAUCGGAUCGCAUCGGCUUCGUGCCGGCGAUGGAUCAUUCAAAUUUCUGCCCUAUCAGCUUUGGACUGUAGUGUAGUGGACUACAGUGGCGUUGACAGGUAACGGAGAAUUAGGGUUCGAUUCCGGAGAGGGAGCCUGAGAAACGGCUACCAGGUCUAAGGAUGGCAGCAGGCGCGCAAAUUACCCAAUCCUGACACAGGGAGGUAGUGACAAGAAAUAACAAUAUCUGACUCUUACGAGUCGGAUAAUUGGAAUGAGAACAACUUAAAAUCCUUAUCGAGGAUCCAUUGGAGGGCAAGUCUGGUGCCAGCAGCCGCGGUAAUUCCAGCUCCAAUAGCGUAUAUUAAUAUUGUUGCAGUUAAAACGCUCGUAGUUGGAUUUCUGGAUUGGAGAGCUCUCUGUGCUGAACCCAUUUAUGGGCAUUGGCGCUGGAGGUGCACUUCGUUCCAUCCUUCGUGGAAAACGUUUGAGCUCUUUAUUGAGUCUUGGGCGCGAUCCCGAUCUUUUACUUUGAAAAAAUUAGAGUGUUCAAAGCAGGCUUACGCUUCUGAAUACAUUAGCAUGGAAUAAUAAAAUAGGGCUUUGGUCUUAUUUUGUUGGUUUCUAAGACUGAAGUAAUGAUUGAUAGGGAUAGUUGGGGGUGCUUGUAUUCAACGGCCAGAGGUGAAAUUCCGUGAUUCGUUGAAGACAAACUAAUGCGAAAGCAUUCACCAAGGAUGUCUUCUUUAAUCAAGAACGAAAGUUGGGGGAUCGAAGACGAUCAGAUACCGUCGUAGUCUCAACCAUAAACGAUGCCGACUAGGGAUUGGUGGGCGUUGAUUUUUGACCCCAUCAGCACCUUAUGAGAAAUCAAAGUCUUUAGGUUCCGGGGGGAGUAUGGUCGCAAGGCUGAAACUUAAAGGAAUUGACGGAAGGGCACCACCAGGAGUGGAGCCUGCGGCUUAAUUUGACCCAACACGGGGAAACUUACCAGGUUCAGACAUAGUGAGGAUUGACAGA